RNAcentral lists this ribosomal RNA (547 nucleotides) under uncultured bacterium. Its description in RNAcentral is "bacterial SSU rRNA". It matches the Rfam family "Bacterial small subunit ribosomal RNA", at positions 355 to 896 of the family's 1533-position model. The record is from RNAcentral.
UGGGGAAUAUUGCGCAAUGGGGGGAACCCUGACGCAGCCAUGCCGCGUGAAUGAAGAAGGCCUUCGGGUUGUAAAGUUCUUUCGGUAUUGAGGAAGGUUGAUGUGUUAAUAGCACAUCAAAUUGACGUUAAAUACAGAAGAAGCACCGGCUAACUCCGUGCCAGCAGCCGCGGUAAUACGGAGGGUGCGAGCGUUAAUCGGAAUAACUGGGCGUAAAGGGCACGCAGGCGGUUAUUUAAGUGAGGUGUGAAAGCCCUGGGCUUAACCUAGGAAUUGCAUUUCAGACUGGGUAACUAGAGUACUCUAGGGAGGGGUAGAAUUCCACGUGUAGCGGUGAAAUGCGUAGAGAUGUGGAGGAAUACCGAAGGCGAAGGCAGCCCCUUGGGAAUGUACUGACGCUCAUGUGCGAAAGCGUGGGGAGCAAACAGGAUUAGAUACCCUGGUAGUCCACGCUGUAAACGCUGUCGAUUUGGGGAUUGGGCUUAGAGCUUGGUGCCCGUAGCUAACGUGAUAAAUCGACCGCCUGGGGAGUACGGCCGCAAGGUUA